Molecule: ribosomal RNA, 492 nt
Filed under: uncultured bacterium
Lineage: Bacteria
Description: partial 16S ribosomal RNA
Rfam family: Bacterial small subunit ribosomal RNA
Source: RNAcentral
AGUGAACGCUGGCGGUAGGCCUAACACAUGCAAGUCGAACGGCAGCACAGUAAGAGCUUGCUCUUACGGGUGGCGAGUGGCGGACGGGUGAGGAAUACAUCGGAAUCUACUUUUUCGUGGGGGAUAACGUAGGGAAACUUACGCUAAUACCGCAUACGACCUACGGGUGAAAGCAGGGGAUCUUCGGACCUUGCGCGAUUGAAUGGGCCGAUGUCGGAUUAGCUAGUUGGCGGGGUAAAGGCCCACCAAGGCGACGAUCCGUAGCUGGUCUGAGAGGAUGAUCAGCAACACUGGAACUGAGACACGGUCCAGACUCCUACGGGAGGCAGCAGUGGGGAAUAUUGGACAAUGGGCGCAAGCCUGAUCCAGCCAUACCGCGUGGGUGAAGAAGGCCUUCGGGUUGUAAAGCCCUUUUGUUGGGAAAGAAAAGCAGCAGGUUAAUACCCCGCUGUUCUGACGGUACCCAAAGAAUAAGCACCGGCUAACUUCGUG